AAAAUGGUUUUGGGGAAUAUUUAUUUCGUGAACUCAGUGCUGUUGCUGGUGCUGUCACAAUUACCUGUCUCAUGGUGGCAAAUCUGGUUGGCUUUGUUAUUGGACCGGGAGGCAUCAACUGGUUGCUUUCUUCUUUCAUUCGAAAAGAAGGACUGCCAGUUCUUGGUGGCUUACUUCUGUCGUUUUACGUGGGAACGAAGCUUAUGUUCCACAUAGCUGAAGCAAAGCAAAGGUCACCUUGAACGGAGACAUAUGUUGCCUAUAUUACUUGAUCCCAAUCUGCAAAUUCCAUGUUCUCAUGAUGUGCUAGAAGUUACAUCACAGAGUUCUCUGGGUUAUGUUAUCAAACUGAUCUUCAUUUUUUUCAUGGCAAAACCAAAAUCAAAGACAAAGGAAAAAGAACAAGUAAAGCUGAUUGGAAAUGGAUUAUGAGUAAAUGGUUCGGGAUUAAGCAUUUUACCUACCAGUUUCGUCUGGCCAGAAAAACGAAUAUUCUUCAUUGCUUUUGAAUUUUGAUAAUUGCAUUUUGCUUUCUUUGUUUCGCCAGAAUAAUGUGUAGUGUUAUGUUUGCCUGUUUAUUUACUUUCAGAUGUCAAGAAAGAAGGAAAGAAAGAAAGAGGAAAAAAGAAACCCAUUUAAUUGCCCCAUUUUGCAUUAUGACUUGUGAAUGCAAGAGAACUUGACAAUAUGCGGGAUUUAAGUAUGGUCCUAAAAAGAUAUAAUAUUCAUAUCUCAUA
Molecule: long non-coding RNA, 737 nt
Organism: Neltuma alba
Lineage: Eukaryota; Viridiplantae; Streptophyta; Magnoliopsida; Fabales; Fabaceae
Exons: 4
Source: RefSeq, a predicted model, not a curated record